UUUAUUGCUACAAUUGUCUGGUUGAGGAUA
This 30-nucleotide non-coding RNA is filed under the name Mus musculus (house mouse). Lineage: Eukaryota; Metazoa; Chordata; Mammalia; Rodentia; Muridae. The record is from RNAcentral.